Gymnogyps californianus (California condor) is the source of this 647-nucleotide long non-coding RNA. RefSeq lists it as uncharacterized. NCBI's taxonomy places the organism in Eukaryota, Metazoa, Chordata, Aves, Accipitriformes, Cathartidae. The record is from RefSeq and is a predicted model, not a curated record. The transcript is spliced from 3 exons.
UUGAAAAUUCAGUGACUGAAUAUUUUGUGUUAUUGCACAACUGGGGCAGAAAUAACCUGAACAUCAGAAGAAUUUGCUAAGGAUUUCUCUCCUGGGUGCUGGAGACAUCUUUUUCCCUGGACCUGGCUACAGGAAGGAAUGUCUCUACAACCAUUGCUGGUAAUGUUCCCUAUGCCUUGCUGGGACCAGCCCUCUCCCUCCCACCGCAGUCUGCAGCAGGGCCUGGGACAGGGAUUUAGGGCGGUGUACCUCUGAAUUUGCCGAAAUGCUAAAUCCAAACUUCCAAAAAAGUUGAUGUCCAGCGAGGAGCAGAAGGAAAUGCAGCAGGAUUUGUUACUGAAUCUUAAAUGAAUUGUCAAGUAUGGAGGGCUGAUUGCAGUGGAAUGUAACAUGAGACUGAAAGUCUAACCUGCCCAUCGGCGCACUAACCAUCCAGAAGACACAUCCGCGUUACUGUUAGCAAACAAUCUGCCCUUCCCAGAUUCUUUUAGAAAAGUAAAGGUUAUGCAAAUGUUGUUGUUCAUUGCUCCCAUUUUUCAGGAUUAAAAAAAAAAAGGAUUUCAGAGAACAAGGAUUCAAAAAGGCCGAGGAGCUACGGCGUGGUUAUGGACUCUUCUUCUUUGGGAGGAGGGGGAAAUGACCCCAAA